Molecule: ribosomal RNA, 450 nt
Filed under: uncultured bacterium
Lineage: Bacteria
Description: partial 16S ribosomal RNA
Rfam family: Bacterial small subunit ribosomal RNA
Source: RNAcentral
GUGGGGAAUUUUGGACAAUGGGCGCAAGCCUGAUCCAGCAAUGCCGCGUGUGUGAAGAAGGCCUUCGGGUUGUAAAGCACUUUUGUCCGGAAAGAAAUGGCCUGGGUUAAUACCCCGGGUCGAUGACGGUACCGGAAGAAUAAGCACCGGCUAACUACGUGCCAGCAGCCGCGGUAAUACGUAGGGUGCGAGCGUUAAUCGGAAUUACUGGGCGUAAAGCGUGCGCAGGCGGCUAUGCAAGACAGAUGUGAAAUCCCCGGGCUCAAACUGGGAACUGCAUUUGUGACUGCAUGGCUAGAGUGCGUCAGAGGGAGGUGGAAUUCCGCGUGUAGCAGUGAAAUGCGUAGAGAUGCGGAGGAACACCGAUGGCGAAGGCAGCCUCCUGGGAUGACACUGACGCUCAUGCACGAAAGCGUGGGGAGCAAACAGGAUUAGAUACCCCUGUAGUCC